RNAcentral lists this ribosomal RNA (735 nucleotides) under uncultured archaeon. Its description in RNAcentral is "bacterial SSU rRNA". It matches the Rfam family "Archaeal small subunit ribosomal RNA", at positions 126 to 859 of the family's 1478-position model. The record is from RNAcentral.
AUAACCCCGGGAAACUGGGGAUAAUUCCGGAUAACGCACAUAUGCUGGAAUGCUUUAUGCGUCAAAUGGAUUCGUCUGCCCAAGGAUGGGUCUGCGGCCUAUCAGGUAGUAGUGGGUGUAAUGUACCUACUAGCCGACGACGGGUACGGGUUGUGAGAGCAAGAGCCCGGAGAUGGAUUCUGAGACAUGAAUCCAGGCCCUACGGGGCGCAGCAGGCGCGAAAACUUUACAAUGCGGGAAACCGUGAUAAGGGGACACCGAGUGCCAGCAUCAUAUGCUGGCUGUCCGGGUGUGUAAAAUACACCUGUUAGCAAGGGCCGGGCAAGACCGGUGCCAGCCGCCGCGGUAACACCGGCGGCCCGAGUGGUGAUCGUGAUUAUUGGGUCUAAAGGGUCCGUAGCCGGUUUGGUCAGUCCUCCGGGAAAUCUGACGGCUUAACCGUUAGGCUUUCGGAGGAUACUGCCAGGCUUGGAACCGGGAGAGGUAAGAGGUACUACAGGGGUAGGAGUGAAAUCUUGUAAUCCCUGUGGGACCACCUGUGGCGAAGGCGUCUUACCAGAACGGGUUCGACGGUGAGGGACGAAAGCUGGGGGCACGAACCGGAUUAGAUACCCGGGUAGUCCCAGCCGUAAACGAUGCUCGCUAGGUGUCAGGCAUGGCGCGACCGUGUCUGGUGCCGUAGGGAAGCCGUGAAGCGAGCCACCUGGGAAGUACGGCCGCAAGGCUGAAACUUAA